AAGCCAACCCCAAUUAAAUGUUGUCCUUGUAAGAGUUGCCUUGGUGGAAAACAAAGUGUGGGCAAUGGCAGUCCUGUGUAAACUGUGGGUCUGGAAAACUGUCUGAACUCCUUUAUUCAGGUAGAGGCCCCAGAACAGAAAGGAACUGAGGCAAAACCAGACAGAGUAACCCUGUCCCUGCAGCAGAGACUGGUGGGACGUGUAUAGCAGGGUGUACCCCUUUCAGUUCUAGUUGCUCCAGCAAACACAGUUCACCUAGUGGGACUGUUGCUGCCAGAGUGACACCUUUUAAUUACAACCCUAGCCCUAGGAAAAGCCGCGAAGACAGCACUUCAGCCCGGCUGUCUCAGAUCCCUACGCCAGUGAGCAGCAACACAGAGAAGAGAGAUUCAAAGACUGACAGCACAGAAUCCAGUGGAGCCCAAAGUCCUAAACGCCAUUCCGGGUCUUCCCUCGUGACGUCUGUUUAA
RNAcentral lists this long non-coding RNA (470 nucleotides) under Mus musculus (house mouse). Its description in RNAcentral is "long non-coding RNA chr5:76196624-76197094". The record is from RNAcentral. Lineage: Eukaryota; Metazoa; Chordata; Mammalia; Rodentia; Muridae.